UACGUAGGGUGCGAGCGUUAAUCGGAAUUACUGGGCGUAAAGCGUGCGCAGGCGGUUUUGUAAGCCAGAUGUGAAAUCCCCGGGCUUAACCUGGGAAUGGCAUUUGGGACUGCAAGGCUGGAGUGCGGCAGAGGAGACUGGAAUUCCUGGUGUAGUAGUGAAAUGCGUAGAUAUCAGGAGGAACACCAGUGGCGAAGGCGACUUCCUGGCCUGUUCUUGACGCUGAGGCGCGAAAGCUGGGGGAGCAAACGGG
This 253-nucleotide ribosomal RNA is filed under the name uncultured bacterium. Its description in RNAcentral is "partial 16S ribosomal RNA". It matches the Rfam family "Bacterial small subunit ribosomal RNA", at positions 524 to 776 of the family's 1533-position model. The record is from RNAcentral.